GCUUAUUUCAUUCUACAUUGCUGUGCUUAACUGAGUUAAAAGCUGCCCGGGACCAUGUUUUUGUUUCUGCCGUAUUUGCAUGCCAUAUGAAUUUAAAACCCUUUGCUUUUUUUUUUCUAUCUUUCUUCCUUUUUUAGGGGGUGGGGUGUUCUGCAUUUUUAUUGCAUUUUCCCCAUUCCUAUUCAUUCCUUAUCUUAGGAUUUCUCAUCCUCUGAAGCACGAGAGUAGCUACCGCGAGCUCACCUACUGCUGCUACAUGGGACUGCCUGCAGCGGGCACGAGGCUUAGACAUUAUGGGGACAAUUCAGGUUCUGCCUGGCAUACUGCAGAAGCAUUGCUGUAUUUUACCUGACCGGAACACAGGUCCAUUGUAUAAGGAGAUGUAGGAGUUAUCCUUAAAAUGCAUCCUUCUGUAACCUGGGAAGUGUCCCAAUUCUGAGUGGAGGAAGCGUAAUGGAAACAGAGUUGUCAGUGACCAUCGUGCUCUUCUCCCACAUUCACUUCAGUUCUACUGUAAUCUCCUUUUUUGUGGAAGGUCUUCAUGAUUACGAAAUUAAGUGUUGUUUUUU
This 569-nucleotide long non-coding RNA is filed under the name Numida meleagris (helmeted guineafowl). RNAcentral's name for it is "lncRNA (ENSNMEG00000021337.1)". Lineage: Eukaryota; Metazoa; Chordata; Aves; Galliformes; Numididae. The record is from RNAcentral.